Molecule: transfer RNA, 78 nt
Filed under: Actinocatenispora rupis
Lineage: Bacteria; Bacillati; Actinomycetota; Actinomycetes; Micromonosporales; Micromonosporaceae
Description: tRNA-Met
Rfam family: tRNA
About the family: Transfer RNA (tRNA) molecules are approximately 80 nucleotides in length. Their secondary structure includes four short double-helical elements and three loops (D, anti-codon, and T loops).
Source: RNAcentral
AGCGCGGUAGGGGAGUUCGGCCGUCCCCGCGGGCCUCAUGAGCCCGAGACCGCCGGUUCGAAUCCGGCCCGCGCCACC